Molecule: ribosomal RNA, 865 nt
Filed under: Taira sp. 11_13
Lineage: Eukaryota; Metazoa; Arthropoda; Arachnida; Araneae; Amaurobiidae
Description: SSU rRNA
Rfam family: Eukaryotic small subunit ribosomal RNA
Source: RNAcentral
UGCAUGUCUAAGUACAUGCCGUAUUAAGGCGAAACCGCGAAUGGCUCAUUAAAUCAGUUAUGGUUCCUUGGAUCGUACCUUACUACUUGGAUAACUGUGGCAAUUCUAGAGCUAAUACAUGCAGCAGGGCUCCGACCUCCGGGGAAGAGCGCUUUUAUUAGACCAAAACCAAUCGGACCUCGUGUCCGUAUCUUGUGGUGACUCUGUAUAACUUUGGGCUGAUCGCACGGGCCUGUCCCGGCGACGUAUCUUUCAAGUGUCUGCCUUAUCAACUUUCGAUGGUAGGUUACGCGCCUACCAUGGUCGUAACGGGUAACGGGGAAUCAGGGUUCGAUUCCGGAGAGGGAGCCUGAGAAACGGCUACCACAUCCAAGGAAGGCAGCAGGCGCGCAAAUUACCCACUCCCAGAACGGGGAGGUAGUGACGAAAAAUAACAAUACGGGACUCUUUUGAGACCCCGUAAUUGGAAUGAGUACACUCUAAAUCCUUUAACGAGGAUCCAUUGGAGGGCAAGUCUAGUGCCAGCAGCCGCGGUAAUUCUAGCUCCAAUAGCGUAUAUUAAAGUUGUUGCGGUUAAAAAGCUCGUAGUUGGAUCUCAGUUCCAGACGGGUGGUCCGCCUACCGGCGGGUACUGCCUGAUCUGAACAGCCAGCCGGUUUCUCUUGAUGAUCUUCACCGGUUGUCUUGGGUGACCGGCAAGUUUACUUUGAAAAAAUUAGAGUGCUCAAAGCAGGCGUGACGCCUGAAUAAUGGUGCAUGGAAUAAUGGAAUAGGACCUCGGUUCUAUUUUGUUGGUUUUCGGAACACGAGGUAAUGAUUAAGAGGGACAGACGGGGGCAUUCGUAUUGCGACGCUAGAGGUGAAA